GGGUUGUGAGGUUAAGCGACUAAGCGUACACGGUGGAUGCCCUGGCAGUCAGAGGCGAUGAAGGACGUGCUAAUCUGCGAUAAGCGUCGGUAAGGUGAUAUGAACCGUUAUAACCGGCGAUUUCCGAAUGGGGAAACCCAGUGUGAUUCGUCACACUAUCAUUAACUGAAUCCAUAGGUUAAUGAGGCGAACCGGGGGAACUGAAACAUCUAAGUACCCCGAGGAAAAGAAAUCAACCGAGAUUCCCCCAGUAGCGGCGAGCGAACGGGGAGCAGCCCAGAGCCUGAAUCAGUGUGUGUGUUAGUGGAAGCGUCUGGAAAGGCGCGCGAUACAGGGUGACAGCCCCGUACACAAAAAUGCACAUGCUGUGAGCUCGAUGAGUAGGGCGGGACACGUGGUAUCCUGUCUGAAUAUGGGGGGACCAUCCUCCAAGGCUAAAUACUCCUGACUGACCGAUAGUGAACCAGUACCGUGAGGGAAAGGCGAAAAGAACCCCGGCGAGGGGAGUGAAAAAGAACCUGAAACCGUGUACGUACAAGCAGUGGGAGCACAGAGCAAUCUGUGUGACUGCGUACCUUUUGUAUAAUGGGUCAGCGACUUAUAUUCUGUAGCAAGGUUAACCGAAUAGGGGAGCCGAAGGGAAACCGAGUCUUAACUGGGCGUUAAGUUGCAGGGUAUAGACCCGAAACCCGGUGAUCUAGCCAUGGGCAGGUUGAAGGUUGGGUAACACUAACUGGAGGACCGAACCGACUAAUGUUGAAAAAUUAGCGGAUGACUUGUGGCUGGGGGUGAAAGGCCAAUCAAACCGGGAGAUAGCUGGUUCUCCCCGAAAGCUAUUUAGGUAGCGCCUCGUGAAUUCAUCUCCGGGGGUAGAGCACUGUUUCGGCAAGGGGGUCAUCCCGACUUACCAACCCGAUGCAAACUGCGAAUACCGGAGAAUGUUAUCACGGGAGACACACGGCGGGUGCUAACGUCCGUCGUGAAGAGGGAAACAACCCAGACCGCCAGCUAAGGUCCCAAAGUCAUGGUUAAGUGGGAAACGAUGUGGGAAGGCCCAGACAGCCAGGAUGUUGGCUUAGAAGCAGCCAUCAUUUAAAGAAAGCGUAAUAGCUCACUGGUCGAGUCGGCCUGCGCGGAAGAUGUAACGGGGCUAAACCAUGCACCGAAGCUGCGGCAGCGACGCUUAUGCGUUGUUGGGUAGGGGAGCGUUCUGUAAGCCUGCGAAGGUGUGCUGUGAGGCAUGCUGGAGGUAUCAGAAGUGCGAAUGCUGACAUAAGUAACGAUAAAGCGGGUGAAAAGCCCGCUCGCCGGAAGACCAAGGGUUCCUGUCCAACGUUAAUCGGGGCAGGGUGAGUCGACCCCUAAGGCGAGGCCGAAAGGCGUAGUCGAUGGGAAACAGGUUAAUAUUCCUGUACUUGGUGUUACUGCGAAGGGGGGACGGAGAAGGCUAUGUUGGCCGGGCGACGGUUGUCCCGGUUUAAGCGUGUAGGCUGGUUUUCCAGGCAAAUCCGGAAAAUCAAGGCUGAGGCGUGAUGACGAGGCACUACGGUGCUGAAGCAACAAAUGCCCUGCUUCCAGGAAAAGCCUCUAAGCAUCAGGUAACAUCAAAUCGUACCCCAAACCGACACAGGUGGUCAGGUAGAGAAUACCAAGGCGCUUGAGAGAACUCGGGUGAAGGAACUAGGCAAAAUGGUGCCGUAACUUCGGGAGAAGGCACGCUGAUAUGUAGGUGAAGCGACUUGCUCGUGGAGCUGAAAUCAGUCGAAGAUACCAGCUGGCUGCAACUGUUUAUUAAAAACACAGCACUGUGCAAACACGAAAGUGGACGUAUACGGUGUGACGCCUGCCCGGUGCCGGAAGGUUAAUUGAUGGGGUUAGCGCAAGCGAAGCUCUUGAUCGAAGCCCCGGUAAACGGCGGCCGUAACUAUAACGGUCCUAAGGUAGCGAAAUUCCUUGUCGGGUAAGUUCCGACCUGCACGAAUGGCGUAAUGAUGGCCAGGCUGUCUCCACCCGAGACUCAGUGAAAUUGAACUCGCUGUGAAGAUGCAGUGUACCCGCGGCAAGACGGAAAGACCCCGUGAACCUUUACUAUAGCUUGACACUGAACAUUGAGCCUUGAUGUGUAGGAUAGGUGGGAGGCUUUGAAGUGUGGACGCCAGUCUGCAUGGAGCCGACCUUGAAAUACCACCCUUUAAUGUUUGAUGUUCUAACGUGGACCCGUAAUCCGGGUUGCGGACAGUGUCUGGUGGGUAGUUUGACUGGGGCGGUCUCCUCCUAAAGAGUAACGGAGGAGCACGAAGGUUGGCUAAUCCUGGUCGGACAUCAGGAGGUUAGUGCAAUGGCAUAAGCCAGCUUGACUGCGAGCGUGACGGCGCGAGCAGGUGCGAAAGCAGGUCAUAGUGAUCCGGUGGUUCUGAAUGGAAGGGCCAUCGCUCAACGGAUAAAAGGUACUCCGGGGAUAACAGGCUGAUACCGCCCAAGAGUUCAUAUCGACGGCGGUGUUUGGCACCUCGAUGUCGGCUCAUCACAUCCUGGGGCUGAAGUAGGUCCCAAGGGUAUGGCUGUUCGCCAUUUAAAGUGGUACGCGAGCUGGGUUUAGAACGUCGUGAGACAGUUCGGUCCCUAUCUGCCGUGGGCGCUGGAGAACUGAGGGGGGCUGCUCCUAGUACGAGAGGACCGGAGUGGACGCAUCACUGGUGUUCGGGUUGUCAUGCCAAUGGCACUGCCCGGUAGCUAAAUGCGGAAGAGAUAAGUGCUGAAAGCAUCUAAGCACGAAACUUGCCCCGAGAUGAGUUCUCCCUGACCCUUUAAGGGUCCUGAAGGAACGUUGAAGACGACGACGUUGAUAGGCCGGGUGUGUAAGCGCAGCGAUGCGUUGAGCUAACCGGUACUAAUGAACCGUGAGGCUUAACCUUACAACGCCGAAGGUGUUU
This 2933-nucleotide ribosomal RNA is filed under the name Escherichia coli. RNAcentral's name for it is "23S ribosomal RNA". It matches the Rfam family "Bacterial large subunit ribosomal RNA". The record is from RNAcentral. Lineage: Bacteria; Pseudomonadati; Pseudomonadota; Gammaproteobacteria; Enterobacterales; Enterobacteriaceae.